CAGUAGCCGCGGUAAUACGAGGGGGGCAAGCGUUGUUCGGAAUUAUUGGGCGUAAAGGGCGCGUAGGCGGUUUGACAAGUCUUGUGUGAAAUCUCUGGGCUCAACCCAGAGUCUGCACGGGAAACUGUCGGGCUAGAGGAUGGGAGAGGUGAGUGGAAUUUCCGGUGUAGCGGUGAAAUGCGUAGAUAUCGGAAGGAACACCUGUGGCGAAAGCGGCUCACUGGACCAUUACUGACGCUGAGGCGCGAAAGCUAGGGGAGCAAACAGGAUUAGAUACCCCUGUAGUCCUGUCUCUUAUACA
RNAcentral lists this ribosomal RNA (301 nucleotides) under uncultured bacterium. RNAcentral's name for it is "partial 16S ribosomal RNA". It matches the Rfam family "Bacterial small subunit ribosomal RNA", at positions 509 to 809 of the family's 1533-position model. The record is from RNAcentral.